This 378-nucleotide unclassified non-coding RNA is filed under the name Hevea brasiliensis (rubber tree). Lineage: Eukaryota; Viridiplantae; Streptophyta; Magnoliopsida; Malpighiales; Euphorbiaceae. The record is from RNAcentral.
UUUGGCUACUUUCAGCUGCAUGCUUUACACAGUUUCAGGCAUGGUUCCUCUUCUCGGUUUUCCUGCUACAUCACAUUUCUCAUCUCACUGAAGAGUAUGUAAUGAACUCCCUUGAAGUAAAUUGAAAAGGCUGAUGGAGGAUUCGGUCGAGGCCCAUAAACUUUGAUCUGCCGAACAUGAGUAUCCCUUCCGUUAAGAUGAUUCGAUAGCACAGCAAUUUGUAACAUAAAUGUAUUGACAAAAGUUUCCCUAGGAUCAUUUCCAGAUAAGGAUAGAUAAACCCAGCCAGUUGGCUUGACAAGCUCCACAGUCUUGAUCUCCCUCAAGUUGUGAAAUCCAUCGCCAGUGCGAAUAGAGAUCUUACUGGGGGUAUAGCUC